RNAcentral lists this ribosomal RNA (465 nucleotides) under Vreelandella stevensii. Its description in RNAcentral is "partial 16S ribosomal RNA". It matches the Rfam family "Bacterial small subunit ribosomal RNA", at positions 338 to 795 of the family's 1533-position model. Lineage: Bacteria; Pseudomonadati; Pseudomonadota; Gammaproteobacteria; Oceanospirillales; Halomonadaceae. The record is from RNAcentral.
CCUACGGGAGGCAGCAGUGGGGAAUAUUGGACAAUGGGGGCAACCCUGAUCCAGCCAUGCCGCGUGUGUGAAGAAGGCCCUCGGGUUGUAAAGCACUUUCAGUGAGGAAGAACGCCUGGUGGUUAAUACCCAUCAGGAAAGACAUCACUCACAGAAGAAGCACCGGCUAACUCCGUGCCAGCAGCCGCGGUAAUACGGAGGGUGCGAGCGUUAAUCGGAAUUACUGGGCGUAAAGCGCGCGUAGGUGGCUUGAUAAGCCGGUUGUGAAAGCCCCGGGCUCAACCUGGGAACGGCAUCCGGAACUGUCAAGCUAGAGUGCAGGAGAGGAAGGUAGAAUUCCCGGUGUAGCGGUGAAAUGCGUAGAGAUCGGGAGGAAUACCAGUGGCGAAGGCGGCCUUCUGGACUGACACUGACACUGAGGUGCGAGAGCGUGGGUAGCAAACAGGAUUAGAUACCCUAGUAGUC